AACCCGUGGUGAGGACAAUCUCUCUUAUAGCCCUUGAAACGUUCCCAUGAAGCCUUGAAGACUUCGGUUGGCCCCUGAGAGAAUGUAGAGAUCUUAGCUCGCAGAU
Molecule: small nucleolar RNA, 106 nt
Organism: Arabis alpina (gray rockcress)
Lineage: Eukaryota; Viridiplantae; Streptophyta; Magnoliopsida; Brassicales; Brassicaceae
Rfam family: Plant small nucleolar RNA R71
About the family: R71 is a member of the C/D box family of snoRNAs containing the C (UGAUGA) and D (CUGA) box motifs.
Source: Rfam